CAUGACUUAGCAACUGAACAACAACAACAACGUAUUAAUAAUUUGUGAAAGGAUUUCUACAAUCAAACCACUUAAUAUAUCCAUCAUCUCAUACUGUUACCUAGUGUGUGUGUGUGUGUGUGUGUGUGUGUAUGUUGUUUUUGGUGGGAAUGCGUCAUACGUUGUGUUAGUUGCUCAGUCAUGCCCGACUCUUUGCGACCCCUUGGACUGCAGCCUACCAGGCUCCUCUGUUCAUGGGAUUUUCCAGGCAAGGAUACUGGAGUGGGUUGCCAUUUCCUUCUCCAGGAGAUCUUCCCAACCCAGGGAUCAAACCCAGGUCUCCUGCACUGCAGGCAGAUUCUUUACCAACUGAGCUACAAGCUGUACAUUAAAUGCUUAAAACUUAGGCAUUUAAGGGUAUUUAGGUUGUUUCUACACCUUGGCUAUUGUGAAUAAUGCUGCAAUUAACACAUGGAAGUACAGAUAUCUCUUUAAGCAGGUUUCUGGUCCUGAAUAUUCAUUGGAAGGACUGAUGCUGAAGCUGAAACUCCAAUACUUUGGCCACCUGAUGUGAAGAGCUGACUGAUUUGAAAAGACCCUGAUGCUGGGAAAGAUUGAAGGCAGGAGGAGAAGCGGAUGACAGAGGAUGAGAUGGUUGGAUGGCAUCACCGAUUCGAUGGACAUGAGCUUGAGUAAACUCUGGGAGUUGGUGAUGGACAAGGAGGCCUGGCGUGCUACAAUCCAUGGGAUCCCAAAGAGUUGGACCCAACUGAGCGACUGAACUGAACUGAGCAGCAGGUUUUAGUUUCUGACCAUGUUUAUCGUAUCUGUAUUAAAAAAAAUUAUUUUAGUGCGCGUGUGUGUGUUUUACAAUAUUGACAAGACAUUGGAAACAAAAGAGAUGGCUAAAGAUUUCCUAGUUUGCCAGUACACCAAGGAUGGACCAAUUUUAGUUCUUGUUUAUAAUAUGUUUGGAAAACACCUUGGUUUCAGAGCCACAUAGUAAUAUGUCUAUUAUCCCUUUAAAAAUUUUCUUUUUCCGCCCUCUGUGUCAUGAAUAAUUUCUAUGCAAACUGUUUUGACUGAAGCUAUUAGAUAAAACUAACCUAAGAGUACAUAAGCUGUGAAAAGAUCAGCUCUGAACUGGGUGGAAGUCUCCAAUUAUAAUGUAACAAUACUAUCAUUUUAUACACAUGAGCCCAAGAAACCCAGAAUAUGAAGAAAUGUGGCACCCAGAA
This is a long non-coding RNA of Dama dama (fallow deer), 1217 nucleotides long. RefSeq lists it as uncharacterized. The transcript is spliced from 3 exons. The record is from RefSeq and is a predicted model, not a curated record. Lineage: Eukaryota; Metazoa; Chordata; Mammalia; Artiodactyla; Cervidae.